AGCUCGUAGGCGGUUUGUCGCGUCUGCUGUGAAAUCUGGGGGCCUUCGCNCNCNAGCCUGCAGUGGGUACGGGCAGACUAGAGUGCGGUAGGGGAGAUUGGAAUUCCUGGUGUAGCGGUGGAAUGCGCAGAUAUCAGGAGGAACACCGAUGGCGAAGGCAGAUCUCUGGGCCGUAACUGACGCUGAGGAGCGAAAGCAUGGGGAGCGAACAGGAUUAGAUACCCUGGUAGUCCAUGCCGUAAACGUUGGGAACUAGAUGUGGGGACCAUUCCACGGUCUCCGUGUCGCAGCUAACGCAUUAAGUUCCCCGCCUGGGGAGUACGGCCGCAAGGCUAAAACUCAAAGGAAUUGACGGGGGCCCGCACAAGCGGCGGAGCAUGCGGAUUAAUUCGAUGCAACGCGAAGAACCUUACCAAGGCUUGACAUAUACCGGAAACGGCCAGAGAUGGUCGCCCCGCAAGGUCGGUAUACAGGUGGUGCAUGGUUGUCGUCAGCUCGUGUCGUGAGAUGUUGGGUUAAGUCCCGCAACGAGCGCAACCCUCGUUCUAUGUUGCCAGCACGUUAUGGUGGGAACUCAUAGGAGACUGCCGGGGUCAACUCGGAGGAAGGUGGGGAUGACGUCAAAUCAUCAUGCCCCUUAUGUCUUGGGCUUCACGCAUGCUACAAUGGCCGGUACAAAGGGCUGCGAUACCGUAAGGUGGAGCGAAUCCCAAAAAGCCGGUCUCAGUUCGGAUUGAGGUCUGCAACUCGACCUCAUGAAGUCGGAGUCGCUAGUAAUCGCAGAUCAGCAACGCUGCGGUGAAUACGUUCCCNGGCCUUGUACACACCGCCCGUCAAGUCAUGAAAGUCGGNUACACCCGAAGCCAGUGGCCUAACCCCUUGUGGGAUGGAGCUGUC
This 897-nucleotide ribosomal RNA is filed under the name Frigoribacterium sp. 100d-i2. Its description in RNAcentral is "SSU rRNA". It matches the Rfam family "Bacterial small subunit ribosomal RNA", at positions 566 to 1457 of the family's 1533-position model. The record is from RNAcentral. Lineage: Bacteria; Bacillati; Actinomycetota; Actinomycetes; Micrococcales; Microbacteriaceae.